AUUGAACGCUGGCGGCAUGCCUUACACAUGCAAGUCGAACGGCAGCACGGGAGCAAUCCUGGUGGCGAGUGGCGAACGGGUGAGUAAUACAUCGGAACGUGCCCAGUAGUGGGGGAUAGCCCGGCGAAAGCCGGAUUAAUACCGCAUACGACCUGAGGGUGAAAGCGGGGGAUCGCAAGACCUCGCGCUAUUGGAGCGGCCGAUGUCAGAUUAGCUAGUUGGUGGGGUAAAGGCCUACCAAGGCAACGAUCUGUAGUUGGUCUGAGAGGACGACCAGCCACACUGGGACGGAGACACGGCCCAGACUCCUACGGGAGGCGGAAGUGGGGAAUUUUGGACAAUGGGGGCAACCCUGAUCCAGCAAUGCCGCGUGCAGGAAGAAGGCCUUCGGGUUGUAAACUGCUUUUGUCAGGGAAGAAAUCCUCUGGGUUAAUACCUCGGGGGGAUGACGGUACCUGAAGAAUAAGCACCGGCUAACUACGUGCCAGCCGCCGCAGUAA
This 500-nucleotide ribosomal RNA is filed under the name uncultured bacterium. Its description in RNAcentral is "partial 16S ribosomal RNA". It matches the Rfam family "Bacterial small subunit ribosomal RNA", at positions 29 to 523 of the family's 1533-position model. The record is from RNAcentral.